This 425-nucleotide ribosomal RNA is filed under the name uncultured bacterium. RNAcentral's name for it is "partial 16S ribosomal RNA". It matches the Rfam family "Bacterial small subunit ribosomal RNA", at positions 354 to 796 of the family's 1533-position model. The record is from RNAcentral.
GUGGGGAAUCUUGCGCAAUGGGCGAAAGCCUGACGCAGCCAUGCCGCGUGGAUGAUGAAGGUCUUAGGAUUGUAAAAUCCUUUCACCGGUGAAGAUAAUGACUGUAGCCGGAGAAGAAGCCCCGGCUAACUUCGUGCCAGCAGCCGCGGUAAUACGAAGGGGGCUAGCGUUGCUCGGAAUUACUGGGCGUAAAGGGAGCGUAGGCGGACAUUUAAGUCAGGGGUGAAAUCCCGAGGCUCAACCUCGGAACUGCCUUUGAUACUGGGUGUCUUGAGUGUGAGAGAGGUGAGUGGAACUCCGAGUGUAGAGGUGAAAUUCGUAGAUAUUCGGAAGAACACCAGUGGCGAAGGCGACUCACUGGCUCAUUACUGACGCUGAGGCGCGAAAGCGUGGGGAGCAAACAGGAUUAGAAACCCUGGUAGUCC